UACGUAGGGGGCAAGCGUUAUCCGGAUUUACUGGGUGUAAAGGGAGCGUAGACGGCAGGGCAAGUCUGAAGUGAAAGCCCGGGGCCCAACCCCGGGACUGCUUUGGAAACUGUCCGGCUGGAGUGCAGGAGGGGUGGGCGGAAUUCCUAGUGUAGCGGUGAAAUGCGUAGAUAUUAGGAGGAACACCGGCGGCGAAGGCGGCCCACUGGACUGUAACUGACGUUGAGGCUCGAAAGCGUGGGGAGCAAACA
Molecule: ribosomal RNA, 251 nt
Filed under: uncultured bacterium
Lineage: Bacteria
Description: partial 16S ribosomal RNA
Rfam family: Bacterial small subunit ribosomal RNA
Source: RNAcentral